This 251-nucleotide ribosomal RNA is filed under the name uncultured prokaryote. Its description in RNAcentral is "partial 16S ribosomal RNA". It matches the Rfam family "Bacterial small subunit ribosomal RNA", at positions 524 to 774 of the family's 1533-position model. The record is from RNAcentral.
CACGUAGGGGCGAGCGUUGUCCGGAAUUACUGGGCGUAAAGGGCGCGCAGGCUGUUAUGCGAGUCUGCUGUGAAAUGUACCGGCUCGACCGGUGCCUUGCGGCGGAUACUGCAUAGCUGGAGUACUGGAGAGGGAAGUGUAAUUCCCGGUGUAGCGGUGAAAUGCGUAGAGAUCGGGAGGAACAUCGAUGGCGAAGGCAGCCAUCUGGACCAGCACUGACGCUGAGGCACGAAAGCGUGGGGAGGCAAACA